This 497-nucleotide ribosomal RNA is filed under the name uncultured bacterium. RNAcentral describes it as "partial 16S ribosomal RNA". It matches the Rfam family "Bacterial small subunit ribosomal RNA", at positions 28 to 507 of the family's 1533-position model. The record is from RNAcentral.
GAUGAACGCUGGCGGCGUGCCUAAUACAUGCAAGUCGAGCGAACAGACGAGGAGCUUGCUCCUCUGACGUUAGCGGCAGACGGGUGAGUAACACGUGGAUAACCUACCUAUAAGACUGGGAUAACUUCGGGAAACCGGAGCUAAUACCGGAUAAUAUUUUGAACCGCAUGGUUCAAUAGUGAAAGACGGUUUUGCUGUCACUUAUAGAUGGAUCCGCGCCGCAUUAGCUAGUUGGUAAGGUAACGGCUUACCAAGGCGACGAUGCGUAGCCGACCUGAGAGGGUGAUCGGCCACACUGGAACUGAGACACGGUCCAGACUCCUACGGGAGGCAGCAGUAGGGAAUCUUCCGCAAUGGGCGAAAGCCUGACGGAGCAACGCCGCGUGAGUGAUGAAGGUCUUCGGAUCGUAAAACUCUGUUAUUAGGGAAGAACAAAUGUGUAAGUAACUAUGCACGUCUUGACGGUACCUAAUCAGAAAGCCACGGCUAACUACGUG